GGAUGGCAGUGCUGCAGCUAAUCUGUAGCUAAUGAGCUUUUCUUUGAACGUCAGUCAAUGGUGUGGGUUGGACAUAAAAGAAUAAUAAAAAACAGUUUCUCACUUGAAAUACAGAUAUAUUAUUGCAUACCUUAAUGUGGAGGCAGUGUGCUCUGUAUGCAUGCAAUGUGCUGGCAGAAAAAAACCCCAUUUGAUUUAAUGUAGGAUAAAAAAAACUCCAAAAAAAUUUUGUCAUCAAAACUGAGAGACUCCACUUUCACACAAGCUGACAAAUACACCUGACUCCUUAAAAGGUUGUCAAACUUUUCCUCUAAACCAUAAGAUAAAUUCACUCAUUAACAGUUAAGAGUUAUUUAAUCAAGUCCAAGGAUCUUACUCAAGUGCAACAUUUAGUGCAGGAGAGCCAGAAUCUUGACAAAAAUGAAUUUCAUUAAAGUAUCAUCGUUCAAUUUGCUACUGUUUGCAUACAAACAUCGAGCUAUUUUAUCAUUGGAGAUUAUAUCUGUUAUUAUUCAUUAUAUAUGCAACAGAUGCACAAAAUGAGCAGGUUAGAAACUGGGAAGAACCUCAAACUGCCUGGCUGGUGACCUCCAGAUCUCACAGAAAUGCCAGAAAGAUGAUAUGUGUAAUAUGUGUAAUAAUAACCUUUUCAUUGCAGUGUUACUGUCCAUAGAGAUGAUGUGAGACUACCGCUGCCAUUAUGCCAAUGGUCUGCCAGCGAGUAUUAAUUACCAGACUGACAAGAUGGCGACGCGUGUAGACGCAGCGACCUCACGCUCUCCUGAAAAUGCGGUGUUUUGUUCGUCAAGUAAGCGCCAAGGCGGUGCGCUAGGACAAGGAAGCGG
Oreochromis aureus is the source of this 845-nucleotide long non-coding RNA. NCBI's taxonomy places the organism in Eukaryota, Metazoa, Chordata, Actinopteri, Cichliformes, Cichlidae. The record is from Ensembl.